UAGCCCCGGUGGUGAUUUCUACUAUCUGCCUCAAUCUCUGCCUCCUCUCUCUCUACACAGCUCUAAGGUAGAAGCUAUCCUCCCUGUUGUUUUCUUUUUCUUUUUUUUGGGGAAGAAUCUAGGGUUUUUAUUUGGAUUUUGGAUUUUGAUAUGAUAAUCAAUCUUUGCCUCCUCUCUCUCACUUUUCCCCCCCUUCUUUUUUAUUUGGGUUUGUUUUUCUAUUUUUAUUUUUAUUUUUAUUUGUUUGUUUGUUAUCAGCAUAGAAAUAUUUCAGUCCUGCUUGGUUGUCGAGAAAGUGGCAACAACAGUAAAGAAAAUGAAAUUUCUGGGACAAGUGCUGCUGUUGUUAUUUUGGAGUGAGUCUAUCUUAAUUGCUAUAAAAUUGUUGGUUAUCUUCUUGAUCAUUAGUUUUGGUUAGGUAACUAAUUGCAAAUUUUGCUAGAAAGUUGUGGCGGUUGUUUUUAACGGUCAAAAUUUGGAUGUUCUGUAAAAUGCCUCAAUGAAAAUAGUUUAUUUUCUUUUGGUUAAACCUACUGCUUAUAUAAUUAUACUUUUUUGUUGUUCAAAUAGUGAGUGAAUCUAUCAUGACAUGCCAAGUAAAUGAUUAAACAACCUUUCCUAUAGAGAGUUUGAUUAACAGUGCUUGAAUGCACUUAGUGUUGGUAAUGUGGAUGUCCUAGUUGAUCAAAGUUAUCUUAGUGAGUGAAUCUAUCAUUUUCUACAUUUCCCCCCCAAAUAGUGAAUGAUACAUGCCUUGGAUAUUUGGUAAGGUUAACAAAAAUAGAGGUAUAUUCAAAUUGGUGAAUUAAACAGUGGGAGUUGGAUCUUAUUUUUAAUAACAAACAGUGGCAAUUUUUAGGGAGUCGAUUUUGGAUAAUGGAUAAUAGAGCUUACUUACCUAUAUUUUCUAUUCUUCCUUUUGCUUCAGGCACAUAUGCCUUGGCGAAGGAGCGUUUGAUUAGCUCAUGAAAAGUUGUUAUGGCUUUGUUUGCUACAAUGGUUGAUUAGGGGAGAAGUUUUCAAAGAUUGUGGGGAGUCCAUACUAUAUGGCCCAGAAGGUUUUGAAGCGAAAUUAUGUAAUGUGGGGUUCCUACAUUUUGAGCAGGUGUCGUCUUUCAAUCGCAAUCUGAAUUCUACAAAGUUUCAAUCGAGCAUUUUUGGUACUGUUGUUCUUGGGAGGAAUUUAAGGAUGAGGAGAUGGUUGAUGUGAAGUCAUUACACAUCCGAAACUUUCUAUGAAGUUGAGUUUGUUGGCGGAAAGCUUGAAAUCAAGACACAUUUCGAUACAACGCAGAACACUCCAAAGAAUGGACAGCGCGUGGUCUUCAGAUUCUAUACAUUGACGACAGCACAUUUCAUCCAAACCGGCGACGACCUCACUGGUGGAAAAAAUCACCAUUGAAACCAGUCACCAUCUCCGGCAAACAGACCAAUGCAAAGCACAUCACCGCAGCGUCAAACGACAGCAACUUUAUGCUCACAGAAGCAAACGGCGCCGGGUAAAACCCACCAGCGAAAGAGACAAAAACCAGGGGAGGAUCACACAACUGCCAUUAACGGCAAGUCAUCAAACCUUCACCCUAGCAUCUUCAUUUCACGGCCAGAGCACCUUGAUACACGGCAGAUGCACGCCAUUUCCAGUAAACCUGCCAUAAAAAGAAUAACGACGGCAGCACCAGAUAACAUCGUAGCCCACAAGCACAGCCAACGUCAUAACACCGCCGACAGCACAAACACAUAGAAACCCCGCUCUGUGAUGACCACCAAGUAACUCCGGUGAGGCAGCACAGAGAG
Non-coding RNA from Camellia sinensis, 1794 nucleotides. The record is from RefSeq and is a predicted model, not a curated record. Lineage: Eukaryota; Viridiplantae; Streptophyta; Magnoliopsida; Ericales; Theaceae.